GCCCUGGUGGUGGAAUUGGUAGACACAAGGGAUUUAAAAUCCCUCGGCGUUCGCGCUGUGCCGGUUCAAGUCCGGCCCAGGGCACCA
RNAcentral lists this transfer RNA (87 nucleotides) under Vibrio alginolyticus. RNAcentral's name for it is "tRNA-Leu". It matches the Rfam family "tRNA". From Rfam's summary of the family: Transfer RNA (tRNA) molecules are approximately 80 nucleotides in length. Their secondary structure includes four short double-helical elements and three loops (D, anti-codon, and T loops). Further hydrogen bonds mediate the characteristic L-shaped molecular structure. tRNAs have two regions of fundamental functional importance: the anti-codon, which is responsible for specific mRNA codon recognition, and the 3' end, to which the tRNAs corresponding amino acid is attached (by aminoacyl-tRNA synthetases). tRNAs cope with the degeneracy of the genetic code in two manners: having more than one tRNA (with a specific anti-codon) for a particular amino acid; and 'wobble' base-pairing, i.e. permitting non-standard base-pairing at the 3rd anti-codon position. Lineage: Bacteria; Pseudomonadati; Pseudomonadota; Gammaproteobacteria; Vibrionales; Vibrionaceae. RNAcentral also lists the same sequence under 18 other names. The record is from RNAcentral.